Molecule: non-coding RNA, 4353 nt
Organism: Rattus norvegicus (Norway rat)
Lineage: Eukaryota; Metazoa; Chordata; Mammalia; Rodentia; Muridae
Source: RefSeq, a predicted model, not a curated record
UCAGAACCAAAACUAGAACUUGGGCCUCUGGGAUCUUUGAAUUCUUCCUACUACUCUGUUGCUAGGCAACCUUUCUCGCUUUUGACUCUGUUCCAAUGCAACUUGUUGCCAUGGCAGUGCUGGGACAAGGAGCGGAGAACCUGGGUUCACUUUCUAGCACCCACAUCCUUCCAGAAUUCCAGCUCUAACUCCAAGGAUCCGACUCCUCCUUCUGUUUUCCAAGGGCACCAGGCAUGCAAGAAAAAAACUCAUAGACAUAAAAAAAUUAAAAAAAAAUAAAAAUAUAUGUUAAAAUUCCAAAAUAAUGACGAUUAAUCAAGUGGCGAACAAUUAAACCUCAUUGACCUCUAACCUCCUCAAGUAUGUACACACAUGUGUACAUGCAACGGAACACACAAUGCACAGCCCCACAGGAACAUGUGCAUGAGUCACAAAUAUACAAAGAAUAGGCAUUCCAUUUUGGUGGGCGUCUCUUCUAUUCAAUCCGGAAUGAACAGGGUAACAUUGUUACAGCACCAUCCUGGCUCAGACAGACCUAAGUUCUAUGCCAGACUUUACGGCUUUGUGUUUUUUCUUGGUCUCCAAUCUCUUCGCCUUCUAGUCAUCGUCGAGGUGCUAUGUCUGUUGAGUGAGAAGUGGCGCUAAGGCCUGAGAGCCUUGAGCGGAGCCAGGAUGAAUGACUAGCUUGUGACUCACCUGCCUGUUCUUUUUUGGAUACUCUGCAGAGAUAAAGUUCCAAACGUCUUUAGCACUCUAUCAGUCAACAACCAAGUCGAGAGAUUCCAAAACCUUCUUUGUGUUUUUGUCUUGGGAGGAGAAUGUUCAAAAAGCAGAUUUUGAAAAGAUCUGAGAAAGUCAAGUUCUGUACCUCAGAGCUGUGUUAUCUGCCCCAGGAAUGAGUCACUGGCCGUGGGAGGAGAAGAGAAAGUGUUUUUUGAGGCGACACAAUGGAGAUCGAAUGAUGCAAGUGAUUGCAAUCGCCUCUUCAAUUGAAUCCAAGGGAAUUUUUUUUUUAAUUCAUUCACUUGACUUUUUGAACACAUCUUCUGUGUCAGGACCCAUGUGCAAGAUGAAGACAUGAAUAGAGAAUGGUCCCUGCUUCCAGGGAGCUCAGGAUUACUAGGAAAAAGGCAUCCAAAAUAAUUCCACCUAUGCAAUAGCUGCUCAAAGGAGGUCCAUGGCUAGAGUUUUGGGAGCCCCAGCAGGAAGCCUGGGCUUCGGUGAGGAGAGGAAACUGGAAUUGGCUGAGCUAAGUCUUAAAGGACUAGGGCAAUGGGUAGUGGGCAAGGGGUGGUAGGCAGCGAGCAGUAGGCAGUGGGCAGUGGAUGGUGGGCCGUGGGCAGUGGGCAGUGGGCAGUGGGCAGUAGGCAGUGAGCAGUAGGCAGUGGGCAGUGGACGGUGGGCAGUGGGCAGUGGGCAGUGAGCAGUGGACGGUGGGCAGUGGACGGUGGGUAGUGGGCAGUGGAUGGUGGGCAGUGGGCAGUGGAUGGUGGGCAGUGGACAGUGGGCAGUGGACAGUGGGCAGUGGACGGUGGGCAGUGGACAAUGGGCAGUGGACAAUGGGCAGUGGACAGUGGGCAGUGGGUGGUGGGCAGUGGGCGGUGAGCAGUGGGCAGGCUGAUAAGGAGAGCAGGGAUGUGGGCAGAGAGCCAUGAAAGUAAGAAAGAACAUGUCUUACGCAGGGCACCCACCAGGCUGUAGGAGGGACAAGCUGGGAAGGAGGCUGGCUCAGCUAGUGUUUGUACCUCCACUUGCAGGUCUGGCCCACACCAGAGAUGAUGUCCAUUUUGAGAAGCACCCAGUCCCAACUAUCUUUACAGAGUUUACAUGUUCUCCCUCUGUGCUGUUUGCCCCGACUGUCCCCUUUGACCUACAGUUCCUGACCUCUUUUGUCACAGUGGGAACUCAGACCUUUACUGGUUAACCAUGUUAAAUGUGUGUUUGGAGGAGGUACACGCGUGUAUUUGGAUAUAAAUGCACAUCCAUGUGUGUACAUAUAUGUGGAGGCCCAGAGCUGAUGUUGGGAGUCUUCCUCAAUAGUAUUUCAUAUUAGUCACUGAGGCAAGGUCUUACUUGAGUCCAAAGCUCACCAAUCGCACUGGUCUAACCAGCCAGCUUGCUCUAGGGCUUCUCCUGUCUCCAAAUUCAGUGAAAGACCCUGUCUCAAGGAAAGGCAACAGAGCUAGAGAAAGACACCCAGUGUUAGCCCCUAGCUUAUGCAUGCACACAGGUCCAUGGGCUUGCAUAUGUGUAUAUGUACCAUGCACGUGUACAUAUACAAAUUAAAGUAUUUAAUUAAGUUCUAAGAAAUUUUAAGUGGAGGUUCAAAAAACAAAACAUAAAACCCAGAGGCUGGAGAGAAAGCUCAGCUGUUAAGAGCACUUGCUGCUCUCAGGAGACCCUGGUUCUGUUCCUAGUAUCCUCUCGGCAGUUGACAGCUGUUUUGUAAUCCCAGUUCCAGGGACCCUGACACUUUAUUUUGGCUUCUGUGGGCACCAGACAUGCAGGUGGUGUGCAGGCAUGCAUGCAGGCAAAGCACUCACACCUAUAAAAUAAAAACAAAUAAACACUUUAAAAAGAAAGAAUAACCGAUUCUCCAGAGUCAAGCCAGGAAUAAGGUUGCUAUGGCUGGCACUUAACAGCUGUCUAAGACCCAGUGGUCAUCCCAAAUCUUCCUUUUCAUUCAAACCCAGAGAAGGAAUGAGCCCUCCAGCAUGACCGGUUCGCUGAGCUCCCAUAAUUACCAGCUAGCCGAGCCCCAAGCAUGACCAGGGACCAGCCCAGAGAAAAAUCUCAGGUUGCAUCCAUUCUUUGACACACGAGAAAGACCCAGGGUCAGGUGGAGGUCAUAAUGGUGGAUAAACUCUUACCUUAAAUGGGAGUGGAAGAAAAUGGAAUGGGUGCAUCACGUCUCCUGUCUGAGACUGGGAGCUCAGCAAGUGAGCUUUAAAGUCCUGAGUGUCAUAAAAGCUUGCUCUGAACUGCUGACUAUGGGUACUGGGAUGCUGGGGUGCAGGUGAGUCCUACCUGCAGGGCAGUUUGUCAGACACCAGAGAUCAGAUUUCUUCCUGCUUAACAUACCCAAAAAAGCAUUUCUGAGGGGUGUGUGUGUGUGUGUGUGUGUGUGUGUGUGUGUGUGUGUGUGUGCGCGCGCGCGCGCGCACAUGCGCUGAUAAGACACCAGAAGAGAGUAUCAGAUCCCCUGGAGUUGGAGUUACAGAUGGUUGUAAGCUGCCUGAUGUGGGUGCUGAGAUCUCUCUCUCUCUCUCUCUCUCUCUCUCUCUCUCUCUCUCUCUCUCUCUCUUUCCACCAAGCACUCUUAACUUCUUAACUGUUGAGCCAUUUCUGCAGCCCAAUCCUUCACUCUUAUUUCUGGCCCCAAGACUCAAGAUUUCCCUUUGCUUUAGGAAGUAGGAAGGACUGCUCUCCCUGCCCAGAGAUGGGUCCUGUGCUUCCUGCCUGUUUAAAUGUCAGGAUCCCGAAAACCUCUUUUCAAAAGGCACACACAGCACUCAGAGUCAGCCAGCGAGGGAUUCAAAGGCCUGUGGGCGAAACUUGGAAGACACGGGACCUCAGCUAACUCCCAUAAUCUCCCUGAGGAUCAGAUGUCCCACGACAGAAGAAUGGAUACAGAAAAUGUGAUUCACUUACACAACAGAAUACUACUCAGCUAUUAAGAACGAGGACAUCCUGAGUUUUGCAGGCAAAUGGAUGGAACUAGAAAAUGUCAUCCUGAGUGAGAAAUGCAGAGAUGGAAAUGGAGAAGAGCCCGAGGAAAAGAAGGUCCAGCGACAGGCUCAAAGUGGGUUCCAGCUCAAGAAGAGGCCCCAAGACCUGACACCAUUACUGAAGCUCUGGGGUGUUCACAAAAAGGGACCUACCAUGACUGCUCUCCAAAAGACCUGGCAAGCAGCUGAGUCAGAUGCAAAUGUGUGUACCCAACCAAUGAACAGAAGCUGCUGACCCCUGUGGUUGAAUUAGGGAAAAACUGGAAGAAACUAAGGAGGGCAACACUGUAGGAGGACCAGCAGUCUCAAUUAACCUGGACCCCUGAGAUCUCCUAGACACUGGAUCACCAACCAGGCAGCAUAUAUCAGCUGAGAUGAGGCCCCCAACACAUACACAGCAGAGGACUCCCAGGUUCAGUCAGAGAAGAUGAGCCUAACCCUCAAGAGACUGGAGGUCCCAGGAAGUUUAGAGGUCUGGUGGGGUGGGUGGAGUAGGGACAUCCUUGUGGAGAUGGGGAGGGGAGAGGGAAGAGGGGGGAGGAGGUAUGGGAUAUGGAACCCUCAGGUGGUAGACCAGGAGGGGAAUAAAAUCUGGAGUGUAAAAAUAAAUAAAUACAUUUAAAAA